Molecule: ribosomal RNA, 549 nt
Filed under: uncultured bacterium
Lineage: Bacteria
Description: bacterial SSU rRNA
Rfam family: Bacterial small subunit ribosomal RNA
Source: RNAcentral
UGGGGAAUAUUGCACAAUGGGCGCAAGCCUGAUGCAGCCAUGCCGCGUGUGUGAAGAAGGCCUUCGGGUUGUAAAGCACUUUCAGCGGGGAGGAAGGCGAUAAGGUUAAUAACCUUGUCGAUUGACGUUACCCGCAGAAGAAGCACCGGCUAACUCCGUGCCAGCAGCCGCGGUAAUACGGAGGGUGCAAGCGUUAAUCGGAAUUACUGGGCGUAAAGCGCACGCAGGCGGUCUGUCAAGUCGGAUGUGAAGUCCCCGGGCUCAACCUGGGAACUGCAUUCGAAACUGGCAGGCUAGAGUCUUGUAGAGGGGGGUAGAAUUCCAGGUGUAGCGGUGAAAUGCGUAGGGAUCUGGAGGAAUACCGGUGGCGAAGGCGGCCCCCUGGACAAAGACUGACGCUCAGGUGCGAAAGCGUGGGGAGCAAACAAGAUUAGAUACCCUGGUAGUCCACGCUGUAAACGAUGUCGAUUUGGAGGUUGUGCCCUUGAGGCGUGGCUUCCGGAGCUAACGCGUUAAAUCGACCGCCUGGGGAGUACGGCCGCAAGGUUA